GACGAACGCUGGCGGCGUGCCUAAUACAUGCAAGUAGAACGCUGAAGGAGGAGCUUGCUUCUCUGGAUGAGUUGCGAACGGGUGAGUAACGCGUAGGUAACCUGCCUGGUAGCGGGGGAUUACUAUUGGAAACGAUAGCUAAUACCGCAUAAUAGUAGAUGUUGCAUGACAUUUGCUUAAAAGGUGCAAUUGCAUCACUACCAGAUGGACCUGCGUUGUAUUAGCUAGUUGGUGGGGUAACGGCUCACCAAGGCGACGAUACAUAGCCGACCUGAGAGGGUGAUCGGCCACACUGGGACUGAGACACGGCCCAGACUCCUACGGGAGGCAGCAGUAGGGAAUCUUCGGCAAUGGACGGAAGUCUGACCGAGCAACGCCGCGUGAGUGAAGAAGGUUUUCGGAUCGUAAAGCUCUGUUGUAAGAGAAGAACGAGUGUGAGAGUGGAAAGUUCACACUGUGACGGUAUCUUACCAGAAAGGGACGGCUAACUACGUG
This 495-nucleotide ribosomal RNA is filed under the name uncultured bacterium. Its description in RNAcentral is "partial 16S ribosomal RNA". It matches the Rfam family "Bacterial small subunit ribosomal RNA", at positions 28 to 507 of the family's 1533-position model. The record is from RNAcentral.